AUUUUUCUUCGUUGAAUUUGUUUUUGUUAAUUUGACUUUGAUUAUCAGAUCUGUCUCGGAUCAACACCGUUGAUUAGUGGUUGAGACUAAAAGGUUUCGAUUUGGGUAAAUAACUGGAUCUGGAUUUUCCUUCUUUUUUUUCCUUCUUGGUGUCGAUUCGAGCUUCACAGUUUAAUUCCUGAGUUCAGGGGUCCUUAUCAAAAAGCCCAUGAAAAGUCUCUACCAAGGUAUUAUUUAAUUUAAGUCGGUGGAGUUUUGAUUUAUGUGAAAUAUGGUUUGGUUUUACUGAUUUUAAGUAGCUAAAAUGUUAGUUAGAUUAUUCGAUUAUCGUGGUUAGUUAACAAAAAGGAAGAUCAUACUUUCAGAUUCCAAUUAAAAAUGCUUCAAAAAUGUUGUUGGCUUUGUUAUUUUAAACUUACGUGAUAGAUUUUGUGGUACAAACAUAGACAUUAAGCAUCAUUAGUGUACCAUCUCAAACAGCAUUUGGUACUGGGUAC
Molecule: long non-coding RNA, 497 nt
Organism: Helianthus annuus (common sunflower)
Lineage: Eukaryota; Viridiplantae; Streptophyta; Magnoliopsida; Asterales; Asteraceae
Exons: 3
Source: RefSeq, a predicted model, not a curated record